CCGGUGAAGUGUUCGGAUCGCGGCGACGCGGGCGUUUCGCCGCCGGCGACGUCGCGAGAAGUCCAUUGAACCUUAUCAUUUAGAGGAAGGAGAAGUCGUAACAAGGUUUCCGUAGGUGAACCUGCGGAAGGAUCAUUGUCGA
RNAcentral lists this ribosomal RNA (142 nucleotides) under Chamaecrista diphylla. RNAcentral describes it as "partial 18S ribosomal RNA". It matches the Rfam family "Eukaryotic small subunit ribosomal RNA", at positions 1698 to 1831 of the family's 1831-position model. RNAcentral also lists the same sequence under 1 other name. The record is from RNAcentral. Lineage: Eukaryota; Viridiplantae; Streptophyta; Magnoliopsida; Fabales; Fabaceae.